CGUCGAUGAUGAUUAAUUUCAAGGCUUGUUUCUCAAAAACAUUCGCAGUUGCCGCCUGAGAACUUUCGCCUUCGCCGGGCUUGAGAGCUUAUGCUGCUUCGAUCCUUCCUUGGAUGUCUGAGACU
This is a small nucleolar RNA of Telopea speciosissima, 125 nucleotides long. RefSeq annotates it as small nucleolar RNA SNORD14. The transcript has a single exon. The record is from RefSeq and is a predicted model, not a curated record. Lineage: Eukaryota; Viridiplantae; Streptophyta; Magnoliopsida; Proteales; Proteaceae.